AGAGUUUUUACGUCAAGUACUAUUGUUUCGUUGUUCUGAAGUGGUGAGAAACAAUAGAAAUGGAGAUCAGCGAUCUAAUGGUCAGUCACUAGGAAACCUUUGCUACAUAGCACCCGGUCUUUUGUGUUCAGUUAUCCUGAAACCUUUGCUACACUUGGUCCGCAUGUCUUUCUGGUACAGUAUCUCCUUUGAAACACCUGUGCUGAUCACUCGUGUCGUUAUCCAAGCGUAAAACAUCUGGUGGUGUAAAACAUUCACUCGGGUCGACGUCUAUCAGUCAAACUGAGUGAGUUUGAUUACUGCAGCAACCAGCUGCUGGGCCAGCUACUCGGCCCACAGGAGCUGGGCCGCCAUGGCUUGGUGGAGAAGCUGAGCAGCUGCCGACCGACCAGCGAGGCAGCAGCAUCUCCUCCUAUUCUCCUCCGUCCAUGCUCACGCCGCGCCGCC
Molecule: long non-coding RNA, 447 nt
Filed under: Setaria italica (foxtail millet)
Lineage: Eukaryota; Viridiplantae; Streptophyta; Magnoliopsida; Poales; Poaceae
Description: long non-coding RNA (SITA_LNC001371)
Source: RNAcentral